GACGAACGCUGGCGGCGUGCUUAACACAUGCAAGUCGAACGGAAAGGCCCUGCUUUUGUGGGGUGCUCGAGUGGCGAACGGGUGAGUAACACGUGAGUAACCUGCCCUUGACUUUGGGAUAACUUCAGGAAACUGGGGCUAAUACCGGAUAGGAGCUCCUGCUGCAUGGUGGGGGUUGGAAAGUUUCGGCGGUUGGGGAUGGACUCGCGGCUUAUCAGCUUGUUGGUGGGGUAGUGGCUUACCAAGGCUUUGACCGGUAGCCGGCCUGAGAGGGUGACCGGCCACAUUGGGACUGAGGUACGGCCCAGACGCCUACGGGAGGCAGCAGUGGGGAAUAUUGCACAAUGGGCGGAAGCCUGAUGCAGCAACGCCGCGUGCGGGAUGACGGCCUUCGGGUUGUAAACCGCUUUCGCCUGUGACGAAGCGUGAGUGACGGUAAUGGGUAAAGAAGCACCGGCUAACUACGUG
Molecule: ribosomal RNA, 468 nt
Filed under: uncultured bacterium
Lineage: Bacteria
Description: partial 16S ribosomal RNA
Rfam family: Bacterial small subunit ribosomal RNA
Source: RNAcentral